GCUGUGACAAGGGAGGCAACUGUAUUCUGGCACUAUGGCCGCUGUUUCGCGUGCCUCCCUGGUUGUGGCGUCGAAAGUCCGUGACUUAGCUGCCACAGUUGGGCAGUUAUUACCAAAAGUCGAUGUUAUUAACAUGGAAUUAGAUGAUGCAGGCUUGGUCCCAGAGAGCAGUCUGCGUCAAAUCAGCGGUGUGGUCCUCUGUGACCCACAGGUGGUUAUGCAACUUGCUGGCCAGAAUGAUCUCCCCUUGAAAUGGGUUCAAUCAACAUGGGCAGGGGUUGAGGGUAUCAUGUCGGUUGUUCGAGAGAAAAAGAUUCAGCCCGAAAUUCCUCUUCUCUCGAACUGGAGACGGCUAUGGUCAGCUUAUAGGGGAGUAUGUAAUGCGGCUCAUGUAAUAGCUCAUGAGAGAAGAUUCAAAGAAAUGUUCAAAGGCAAUGAGUCAAGAAUCUGGGAUCAAAAUACAAGUAUUUCCGGUCUUUGUCAAGUUUGACCAUUGGGGUGCUGGGUCUAGGCCAGAUUGGUACAGAAAUUUCCCGGAUGUGUAAGGCUAUGGGGAUGACUGUAUGGGGGAUGGCCACUGGCCAGAAGAAAACUUGUCCCUACAUUGACGAAUUCAGAUGUACAGAUGACCUCUCUGAUCUGCUGUCUCACUGUGACUACAUCUGCAACAUCCUCCCCAGCACACCACUCACCCGGAACCUUCUGUCUGGAGAGGUCCUUGCGUGUUGUGCCCAGAGG
Molecule: unclassified non-coding RNA, 738 nt
Filed under: Haliotis rubra (blacklip abalone)
Lineage: Eukaryota; Metazoa; Mollusca; Gastropoda; Lepetellida; Haliotidae
Description: glyoxylate/hydroxypyruvate reductase A-like, transcript variant X1
Source: RNAcentral